This 72-nucleotide transfer RNA is filed under the name Ictidomys tridecemlineatus (thirteen-lined ground squirrel). Its description in RNAcentral is "Spermophilus tridecemlineatus (thirteen-lined ground squirrel) tRNA". It matches the Rfam family "tRNA". Rfam says of the family: Transfer RNA (tRNA) molecules are approximately 80 nucleotides in length. Their secondary structure includes four short double-helical elements and three loops (D, anti-codon, and T loops). Lineage: Eukaryota; Metazoa; Chordata; Mammalia; Rodentia; Sciuridae. The record is from Rfam by way of RNAcentral.
GGGGUUGUGGCUCAUUGGUAGAGUGCUUGCCUAGCACGCUUGAGACACUGGGUUCAAUCCCUGGCACCACUU